UCUCGGGCAGACCAUCUGGUUGAGUCACUACCCUUUCAAGGUAGGAUUAGCGGGUUCAAUUCCCGUCCCGAGAACCA
This 77-nucleotide transfer RNA is filed under the name Vibrio phage Ceto. RNAcentral describes it as "tRNA-Glu". It matches the Rfam family "tRNA". Rfam says of the family: Transfer RNA (tRNA) molecules are approximately 80 nucleotides in length. Their secondary structure includes four short double-helical elements and three loops (D, anti-codon, and T loops). The record is from RNAcentral. Lineage: Duplodnaviria; Heunggongvirae; Uroviricota; Caudoviricetes; Demerecviridae. RNAcentral also lists the same sequence under 10 other names.